This 854-nucleotide ribosomal RNA is filed under the name uncultured Bacillota bacterium. RNAcentral's name for it is "bacterial SSU rRNA". It matches the Rfam family "Bacterial small subunit ribosomal RNA", at positions 530 to 1399 of the family's 1533-position model. Lineage: Bacteria; Bacillati; Bacillota. The record is from RNAcentral.
GGGGGCUAGCGUUAUCGGAUUUACUGGGCGUAAAGGGUGCGUAGGCGGUCUUUCAAGUCAGGAGUGAAAGGCUACGCUCAACCGUAGUAAGCUCUUGAAACUGUAAGACUUGAGUGCAGGAGAGGAGAGUGGAAUCCUAGUGUAGCGGUGAAAUGCGUAGAUAUUAGGAGGAACACCAGUUGCGAAGGCGGCUCUUGGACUGUAACUGACGCUGAGGCACGAAAGCGUGGGGAGCAAACAGGAUUAGAUACCCUGUAGUCCACGCCGUAAACGAUGAGUACUAGCUGUCGGAGGUUACCCCCUUCGGUGGCGCAGUAACGCAUUAAGUACUCCGCCUGGGAAGUACGCUCGCAAGAGUGAAACUCAAAGGAAUUGCGGGGACCCGCACAAGUAGCGGAGCAUGUGGUUUAAUUCGAAGCAACGCGAAGAACCUUACUAAGCUUGACAUCCCACUGACCCUUCCCUAAUCGGAAGCUUCCCUUCGGGGACAGUGGUACAGGUGGUGCAUGGUUGUCGUCAGCUCGUGUCGUGAGAUGUUGGGUUAAGUCCCGCAACAGCGCAACCCUUGCCUUUAGUUGCCAGCAUUAAGUUGGGCACUCUAGAGGGACUGCCAGGAUAACCUGGAGGAAGGUGGGGAUGACGUCAAAUCAUCAUGCCCCUUAUGCUUAGGGCUACCACGUGCUACAAUGGGUGGUACAGAGGGCAGCCAAGUCGUGAGGCGGAGCUAAUCCCUUAAGCCAUUCUCAGUUCGGAUUGUAGGCUGAAACUCGCCUACAUGAAGCUGGAGUUACUAGUAUCGCAGAUCAGAAUGCUGCGGUGAAUGCGUUCCCGGGUCUUGCACUCACCGCCCGUAA